AUGGAAAUGAGCAGAAUUUAUCUGGUGUCAUCAGUGAUGAAGGUACCUGGUACGUUACCUUCCACUGUGCACAGUGAACUGCUGGAUGCUUCAAUGGAAAAGGAGCCUGACUCCUCAUUUAGCACCAGCUAUAGGAAUGUCCAGGAUUCACACUUUCAUCUGGAUGAACACAUGGACUAUCUAACCUGUCUUUUAAAAUGGUGAGUGACAGCAAAUAUAUCACAGUCCUUGGAUAACUGCCAUUGCUGAUAACAACACAGGUUUUAUUUUGGUCCGAGCUGUUCUAGCUUUAACGUCAGCCCUCUGCAUCUGUUCCCUCCUACUUGGUAUUUGCCUGUAGCACACUGACAGCAUCUACAGAUGUGAGCUCAUAUUUGCAAGUAUGAGACUCCUACCCAUUUCCUCUAGCUUAAUGCUUCCAUACUCUGUCUGAAAAAUGUUGUCAUGAACCCCUUUCACUUUUAUUCAAGCAAUCCUAUUCUCAAACAGGUGUAAAGCACCAACACCUUUUUCUAUGCUGAAAUGGUCUGUAAAGUCAAGGGGAGCCCAAUUCUAAGCAAACCUCCAACUACAUGAUCACAAUUGAGGUGACUACCAGUGGUGUGUCCUCACUAUCAGAAAGCUGAGGAGAUCAGCAUCCAGUAUAGGGAAUUUUCUGAGGUGCAACCAACAGAGAGAAGCAUCUCAAAAGCAUCUGGCAGGGGCUUCCAGCUUCUGCUGAGGCAACUGCUGUGCAGGCAGUGGGAUUUGAGAGCCUUCGCACCCCACCCCCCCAAGAAGACGACUUUUUCAUGUGCUGUAGGAGUGCAAACCAAGCUGCCCUGAGCACCAAAAUGUCUUGCUGUCUGUGAUAUAGUAUACUGAUGCUAAAAUUGCACAUAAUUUAAUAUGGCAGACAGCUUGUGAUUCACAGCUGAACAGACCUACAAAGAAUCAUAUUAUUACGCACAGAGGAAACCAUGUAUGAUAUGAAUGUGAUCUGACACAACUGACAAAACCAGACAGUAUGUAUCAAGCUAAUCAUGCAGACAACAAAUAUGGGCAGCUUUCAGAGAACAGGUUUUUGAUGUUUAGUUAUUUUCCACAAUAAGACAUAAAAGCCUUUUUUUUCUGUUGUUUUGACCUUUUGCCCCUUCACUGAAAGUGAUGGAAAAAUCUUUGAUUUCAUGGGUUGUUGGAUCAGGCCCAGGGACCACAGUAGUGUAGCAAUUUAAGUCUGAAGGGCACCAUCAGAGUCGUGCAGAGGCAGAGGGUUAGGACAGUUGAAGAGAUUCAGAACAGAGCUGAGAUUCAUAGGGAGAAUCACCAAUGUGAAGCUCGCCAGGACCUUCUCCCACUGAGUAUACCUCUGUUUAGCAAGAUCAAUCACUCACUUCCACAUCAACCAAAUUUUUCCAAGAUUAGGAAGAUAGUAAUAAUAAAUAAUUAGCAUUUACAUCA
RNAcentral lists this long non-coding RNA (1440 nucleotides) under Anser brachyrhynchus (Pink-footed goose). Its description in RNAcentral is "lncRNA (ENSABRG00000004721.1)". The record is from RNAcentral. Lineage: Eukaryota; Metazoa; Chordata; Aves; Anseriformes; Anatidae.